Ornithorhynchus anatinus (platypus) is the source of this 138-nucleotide small nucleolar RNA. Lineage: Eukaryota; Metazoa; Chordata; Mammalia; Monotremata; Ornithorhynchidae. The record is from RefSeq and is a predicted model, not a curated record.
UUCCUCUCAGGGUCGCACCUGGAGAGUUGCCAAUACUCUAUCAGUCUCGGCUACAGGACGGAGAGUCAAGCAGAGGCCGGUCCAUUCCAUUCCUAGUUUGGUCAGUGGCUAGAGAGUGGAAGACAAUCUGCUACAAGU